Molecule: transfer RNA, 72 nt
Filed under: Candidatus Doriopsillibacter californiensis
Lineage: Bacteria; Pseudomonadati; Pseudomonadota; Gammaproteobacteria; Candidatus Tethybacterales; Candidatus Persebacteraceae
Description: tRNA-Ala
Rfam family: tRNA
About the family: Transfer RNA (tRNA) molecules are approximately 80 nucleotides in length. Their secondary structure includes four short double-helical elements and three loops (D, anti-codon, and T loops). Further hydrogen bonds mediate the characteristic L-shaped molecular structure. tRNAs have two regions of fundamental functional importance: the anti-codon, which is responsible for specific mRNA codon recognition, and the 3' end, to which the tRNAs corresponding amino acid is attached (by aminoacyl-tRNA synthetases). tRNAs cope with the degeneracy of the genetic code in two manners: having more than one tRNA (with a specific anti-codon) for a particular amino acid; and 'wobble' base-pairing, i.e. permitting non-standard base-pairing at the 3rd anti-codon position.
Source: RNAcentral
GGGGGCAUAGCUCAGUGGUAGAGCGUCUGGUUUGCAUCCAGAAGGUCGUGGGUUCGACCCCCGUUGCCUCCA